This 861-nucleotide long non-coding RNA is filed under the name Homo sapiens (human). Its description in RNAcentral is "HSALNT0243924". Lineage: Eukaryota; Metazoa; Chordata; Mammalia; Primates; Hominidae. The record is from RNAcentral.
CGGGGUUGGGGGUAAGGUUAUAAAUUAACAGCAUCUCAAGGCAGAAGAAUUUUUCUUAGUACAGAACAAAAUGGAGUCUCCUAUGUCUACUUCUUUCUACACAGACACAGUAACAAUCUGAUCUCUCUUUCUUUUCCCCACAGUGUGGGGGGUGGAACACAAGUUUAGAAGUCACAAAAGCAGUAUUCUGGGCCCUACAUGGUGAGCUGUCACUGAGUGAUGCUGGCAUUGCAACUGCUUCUGUAAACAGUGUAACUUCCUGCUAUGAGUCAGCUAAACAUUCCUGAAUCCAACCAUUCUACCCCUGGCAAACUCCAGUAUCUGAUGCUCUAUCACAUGUGGAAACAUAAAGUCACUCACAUCAGUUUCAACAAGUACACUGCUUAGUGAAAUAUGGGUCUUUAAAAACAUACUGGAAUUUGAAAAAAGAAACAACACAUUGAUGGUAAUGUCUUCCUCUGAAUGAAUGUGUGUAAAACUGUAACAAGCACAAAAACCAAAGCCAAAGAAUCAAAGACUUACAUCUGUCAAACCUAUUCCACAGAAGCCAUUUCAAUAUCAGGGCUAUUUCUUAGAUAGGUUUAAAAAUGUAUCUCACAAUUUAAAUUUGAAAACAAAGCAAAGCGCAAACACCAAGUAGAAGUUACACUACAAGGACCAUGCAGGUCAGCCAGGUGUAGAAGAUAAAUGGUCAAAAUAUGCUAUGAAGAAGAAAACUAAGAAAGGUACAUAGAGCAAUUCAAUCUCUACCAGGUUUUCUGAAUAAACAUUGGAAUUUAAUCGAAUUUAAAAUAAUUUCUCAUAAUGGAAUAUGGCAUGGGCCAGUUUUUCAGUUAAUAUAAUGUUUGUGACAAUGUGGGC